This 115-nucleotide ribosomal RNA is filed under the name Mesorhizobium sp. M8A.F.Ca.ET.197.01.1.1. Lineage: Bacteria; Pseudomonadati; Pseudomonadota; Alphaproteobacteria; Hyphomicrobiales; Phyllobacteriaceae. The record is from RNAcentral.
CCUGGUGGUUAUGGCGGAGCGGCUGCACCCGAUCCCAUUCCGAACUCGGCCGUGAAACGCUCCAGCGCCGAUAGUACUUCGUCUCAAGACGCAGGAGAGAAGGUCGCUGCCAGGU